CAUGUAAAUCGCGAAUAAGCGUUAUGCGUCCGUGGAUUAUUCGGUUUUUUGUACCGUUUUGUAUAUUGUAUUAUAUUUAUUGGUUUUCUCGUAUAUAUAUAUAUAUGUUGCAACACAAAUUUAAACCAUGAUCGAAUUCAAAGAUUGUUCUUGAACUACAAGAAUAUUGAUGAAACUAUUACCGUUGAUGUCGACAAAUCUCAACCUGAUGAAAAAAAUAUUGCAGCUGUUUUGCAUUAUACUGGGUUAUUGCUUCAAUUUUCUGCAGUAACAAAUUUGGGGGAACAUCAAUCAUUUGCUAUUCUUGACUAUAAUGUGGAGAAAA
Molecule: long non-coding RNA, 325 nt
Organism: Xenia sp. Carnegie-2017
Lineage: Eukaryota; Metazoa; Cnidaria; Anthozoa; Malacalcyonacea; Xeniidae
Exons: 3
Source: RefSeq, a predicted model, not a curated record